AUAAUAAAGAGUCGUGCCUGCCCAGUGAAUUUUUUUGACGGCGGCAGUACCCUGACUGUGCUAAGGUAGCAUAAUCACUUGUUUUUUAAUUGAAAGCUUGUAUGAAUGGCUUGACGCAGGUAAAGCUGUCUCUUUUAUACUAAAUAAAAAUUAAUCUUUAAGUGCAGAAGCUUAAAUACCCCCAAAAGACGAAAAGACCCUAUCGAGCUUGAAAAUUAUAAUUAAAUUAAAUUUAUAGUAAAAUAAUUUUUAAUUAAUUUUUUUUGUUGGGGCGACAAAAGAACAAACAAAGCUUCUUUUUAUUUUAUAAAUCUCUAAAUUUAUAGAUCCAUAAUUUAUGACUAAAAGAAAAAGCUACCGUAGGGAUAACAGCGUUAUUUUUUCAAAGAGUUCUUAUCGAAGAAAAAGUUUGCGACCUCGAUGUUGGAUUAAAGUAACUUUUAAGUGCAGAAGCUUAGAGAGUGGGUGGGUUCGACCCUUAAACCUUU
RNAcentral lists this ribosomal RNA (488 nucleotides) under Mopalia schrencki. RNAcentral describes it as "partial 16S ribosomal RNA". It matches the Rfam family "Bacterial large subunit ribosomal RNA", at positions 1842 to 2597 of the family's 2925-position model. Lineage: Eukaryota; Metazoa; Mollusca; Polyplacophora; Chitonida; Mopaliidae. The record is from RNAcentral.